GGUGGNNCNUGUGGUUUAAUUNGAUGCAACGNGAAGNNCCUUNCCUACUCUUGACAUCUAGAGAAUCCAGCGGAGACGCAGGAGUGCCUUCGGGAACUCUAAGACAGGUGCUGCAUGGCUGUCGUCAGCUCGUGUUGUGAAAUGUUGGGUUAAGUCCCGCAACGAGCGCAACCCUUAUCCUUGUUUGCCAGCGAGUAAUGUCGGGAACUCCAGGGAGACUGCCGGUGAUAAACCGGAGGAAGGUGGGGACGACGUCAAGUCAUCAUGGCCCUUACGAGUAGGGCUACACACGUGCUACAAUGGCGCAUACAGAGGGCAGCAAGCUAGCGAUAGUGAGCGAAUCCCAAAAAGUGCGUCGUAGUCCGGAUUGGAGUCUGCAACUCGACUCCANGAAGUCGGAA
This 401-nucleotide ribosomal RNA is filed under the name Vibrio sp. AZTITEMP282. Its description in RNAcentral is "partial 16S ribosomal RNA". It matches the Rfam family "Bacterial small subunit ribosomal RNA", at positions 931 to 1331 of the family's 1533-position model. The record is from RNAcentral. Lineage: Bacteria; Pseudomonadati; Pseudomonadota; Gammaproteobacteria; Vibrionales; Vibrionaceae.